UGGGAAUAUUGGGCAAUGGGGGGCAACCCUGACCCAGCAACGCCGCGUGAAGGAAGAAGGCUUUCGGGUUGUAAACUUCUUUUGUCAGGGACGAAUAAAUGACGGUACCUGACGAAUAAGCCACGGCUAACUACGUGCCAGCAGCCGCGGUAAUACGUAGGUGGCAAGCGUUGUCCGGAUUUACUGGGUGUAAAGGGCGUGUAGGCGGGAUUGCAAGUCAGAUGUGAAAUGUAGGGGCUUAACCCCUGAGCUGCAUUUGAAACUGUAGUUCUUGAGUGAUGGAGAGGCAGGCGGAAUUCCUAGUGUAGCGGUGAAAUGCGUAGAUAUUAGGAGGAACACCAGUGGCGAAGGCGGCCUGCUGGACAUUAACUGACGCUGAGGCGCGAAAGCGUGGGGA
This 397-nucleotide ribosomal RNA is filed under the name uncultured Oscillospiraceae bacterium. RNAcentral's name for it is "bacterial SSU rRNA". It matches the Rfam family "Bacterial small subunit ribosomal RNA", at positions 356 to 767 of the family's 1533-position model. Lineage: Bacteria; Bacillati; Bacillota; Clostridia; Eubacteriales; Oscillospiraceae. The record is from RNAcentral.